CACCACCCCCCGGCGUCAGGCUCGGCAGCGUGAGCGCCGCCUGGGCUUCAUAUAGGGCGGGCUCCCGGCCACGUCAGCCAGCAGCCAGCCACCUGACCGGAGCCGCCCUGCGGCUGGGGCAGCUGCAAGGUGCUAGCAGGUAUGCAGAGGAUGAUUCUCUCUGAACAGGGCCGCCCCAAGCAACAACAACAAAAAAUCCCACGGCGGCCAGAACAGCAAAGCAA
Molecule: non-coding RNA, 224 nt
Organism: Chrysemys picta bellii (western painted turtle)
Lineage: Eukaryota; Metazoa; Chordata; Testudines; Emydidae
Source: RefSeq, a predicted model, not a curated record